RNAcentral lists this ribosomal RNA (460 nucleotides) under uncultured bacterium. RNAcentral describes it as "partial 16S ribosomal RNA". It matches the Rfam family "Bacterial small subunit ribosomal RNA", at positions 338 to 795 of the family's 1533-position model. The record is from RNAcentral.
CCUACGGGGGGCAGCAGUGAGGAAUAUUGGUCAAUGGACGAGAGUCUGAACCAGCCAAGUAGCGUGAAGGAUGACUGCCCUAUGGGUUGUAAACUUCUUUUAUAUGGGAAUAAAACGUUCCACGUGUGGGAUUUUGUAUGUACCUUAUGAAUAAGGAUCGGCUAACUCCGUGCCAGCAGCCGCGGUAAUACGGAGGAUCCGAGCGUUAUCCGGAUUUAUUGGGUUUAAAGGGAGCGUAGGUGGAUUGUUAAGUCAGUUGUGAAAGUUUGCGGCUCAACCGUAAAAUUGCAGUUGAAACUGGCAGUCUUGAGUACAGUAGAGGUAGGCGGAAUUCGUGGUGUAGCGGUGAAAUGCUUAGAUAUCACGAAGAACUCCGAUUGCGAAGGCAGUUCACUAGACUGCCACUGACACUGAGGCUCGAAAGUGUGUGUAUCAAACAGGAUUAGAUACCCUUGUAGUC